CCACAUAAACAAAAAAUUCUCUAGUUAUCAGCUGAUUCGAGAUAAAUAUACACCGGGUGUUUAAAUAAAUAUUUAGAUCUGUUACAGAAAAAUAUGUUAGUUUAUUAAAGAGUGUUAAAUUAAGAAAACUUAAAGUCAAUUAAUCAGGUGCAUUAAUAUGAUACUGAUGAAGCAAUUGUAUCGAAAACGAAAAUCAAAAUUUGCUCUAAUUCUCCUGAGUGUAUUUGGAUGUACUUGUUUUUUAUUAUCGCAAUUUCUUUACUUAUUACGACUGAACGAAGACACAAGUCAAAUUAAUCGUGAAUCACAACAACAUCACAAACAAAAUGUUGCUAUCAAUAAAAUAAUGUCAAAGUGGAAUGAAUCAAAACAUUCAAAAUUGGUAAAAGAUAAAGAUGGAAAUACCGUUUCUCUAAGGGGAACAAAUAGUCGAGAUAUUGGGAAAUAUCUUCCCAAUUUAAGAGGAAAUUUUAUUUGCAUUGCUUCCAAGAAGGAAAUAGAUUUCCUGAAAAUUAACGACAAUUAUUGCGAUUGUCCAUUGGAUGGAAGUGAUGAACCGGGAACAAACGCUUGCAAUAAUGGUGUAUUCUAUUGCGAAGUGUCUUCAAAAAAAUUUCCAGCUAAAAUAGCGUCUUACAAAGUUAACGAUGGUGUUUGUGAUUGUUGUGAUGGUAGCGAUGAAUGGUCCGGAAUUUCUUUACACGACACAUCUGCCAUUAAAAUAGAAACUUUUGUUUCACCAGAUAAUCAGCCUAGUCUGCAAGGUGCUUGUUUAAACCGAUGUUGAGAAAAUGUUUACUAAACUUUGUGUGAUGCGACUGAUAUUCAACAAAACAAGAGUUUAAUUCAAACGAUUCAACAUUUUUUUCAAUAAUUGGCAAUCUACAAUAGAAAUUAAUAAAUGCAGAAGAGGAAAUUCAAAUUUCAAAAAACGAUAAUCAACGAAAAAACACAAAGGAAUGUAAAUUAAAUCAAAGAAAUUCGAAAUUUUCAAUCAAGAUCAGGACUUUCACGACAACAUGUCA
Leptopilina heterotoma is the source of this 1025-nucleotide RNA transcript. RefSeq lists it as uncharacterized. The transcript is spliced from 5 exons. NCBI's taxonomy places the organism in Eukaryota, Metazoa, Arthropoda, Insecta, Hymenoptera, Figitidae. The record is from RefSeq and is a predicted model, not a curated record.